Molecule: long non-coding RNA, 265 nt
Filed under: Homo sapiens (human)
Lineage: Eukaryota; Metazoa; Chordata; Mammalia; Primates; Hominidae
Description: non-protein coding lnc-TIMP3-7:1
Source: RNAcentral
AUGGCCAAUUCUUUAAGAGGAUAAGUACUAAAUCUUUAUAAAAAUCUGCUGUAUCCUUGGACGAGACUAUCCAAAAGGAGCAGACUAUUUUAAACGGCGUUUGAACAACAUUUUCCUUAAAAACAAAGACGUGAAGAAUCCAGAGAAGAUCAAAGAACUUACUGUACAGGGCGAAUUUGUAAUGAAAGAGCUAGAAGCCUUAUAUUUCUUUAGGAAAUACAAAGCUAUGAAACAACGCUGUUAUUCAGAUAUCAACAAAAACUAG